GAGUUUGACCCUGGUUCAGAUUGAACGCGGGCGCCAGCCUUAAUACAUGCAAGUCGAACGGUAACUGGAGAAAAGCUUGUUUUUCUUGCAGACAAGGGGCGGACGGGUGAGUAAUAUUUGGGAAGCUACCUGAUAGAGGGGGACAAACAGUUGAAACGGACUGCUAAUACCGCAUAUAGCUUGAGGGUGAAAGCAGCAAUGCGCUAUCAGAUGCGCCCAAACGGGAUUAGCUAGUAGGUGAGGUAAAGGCUCACCUAGGCGACGAUCUCUAGCUGGUCUGAGAGGAUGAUCAGCCACAUUGGGACUGAGACACGGCCCAGACUCNUACGGGAGGCAGCAGUAGGGAAUAUUGCACAAUGGGGGAAACCCUGAUGCAGCCACGCCGCGUGUGUGAAGAAGGCCUUCGGGUUGUAAAGCACUUUCGGAGGGGAGGAACAAAUGACGUUACCCUCAGAAGAAGCACCGGCUAACUCCGUGCCAGCAGCCGCGGUAAUACGGAGGGUGCAAGCGUUAAUCGGAAUAACUGGGCGUAAAGGGCAUGCAGGCGGUUAAACAAGUAGGAUGUGAAAUCCCCGGGCUCAACCUGGGAACUGCAUUCUAAACUGUUUAACUAGAGUAUUGCAGGGGGAGACGGAAUUCCAGGUGUAGCGGUGGAAUGCGUAGAUAUCUGGAAGAACACCAAGGGCGAAGGCAGUCUCCUGGGCAAAUACUGACGCUCAGAUGCGAAAGCGUGGGUAGCAAACAGGAUUAGAUACCCUGGUAGUCCACGCCGUAAACGAUGUCAAUUAGGAGCUUGUGCUUAAGUAUGGUUCCGCAGCUAACGCAAUAAAU
This 831-nucleotide ribosomal RNA is filed under the name uncultured bacterium. RNAcentral's name for it is "bacterial SSU rRNA". It matches the Rfam family "Bacterial small subunit ribosomal RNA", at positions 9 to 865 of the family's 1533-position model. The record is from RNAcentral.